Molecule: transfer RNA, 73 nt
Filed under: Anneissia japonica
Lineage: Eukaryota; Metazoa; Echinodermata; Crinoidea; Comatulida; Comatulidae
Description: tRNA-Met
Rfam family: tRNA
About the family: Transfer RNA (tRNA) molecules are approximately 80 nucleotides in length. Their secondary structure includes four short double-helical elements and three loops (D, anti-codon, and T loops). Further hydrogen bonds mediate the characteristic L-shaped molecular structure. tRNAs have two regions of fundamental functional importance: the anti-codon, which is responsible for specific mRNA codon recognition, and the 3' end, to which the tRNAs corresponding amino acid is attached (by aminoacyl-tRNA synthetases). tRNAs cope with the degeneracy of the genetic code in two manners: having more than one tRNA (with a specific anti-codon) for a particular amino acid; and 'wobble' base-pairing, i.e. permitting non-standard base-pairing at the 3rd anti-codon position.
Source: RNAcentral
GGCUCCUUGGCGCAGUCGGCAGAGCGUCAGUCUCAUAAUCUGAAAGUCGUGAGUUCGAGCCUCACAGGGGCAA